GCCUUGCCUCGGGUGUAGGGAUUGCAAGGGAAAAGCAAAACUACACGUUUAGACCCUGUGUAGUUUUGUUUUUUGGGUUAUAACGGGGCCCAACCGUUCUCACCUUGGAUUUUCUGGAAACAUUUUGGAUAAGAGGAUUGUUGCUGAGGCACUAGCCACCUGGGUACAGUCCCAUCAAGUGUAGGCAACCUUGUGAUACAAGGUGCCUUCUACCAUGUCAACACAAGCUCCAACAUUUACACAGCCGCUUCAGAGCGUUGUGGCACUUGAGAGUAGUGCUGCAACGUUCGAGGCUCAAGUUAGUGGUAAUCCAGUUCCAGAGGUGAGCUGGUUUUGUGAUGGCCAGGUUCUUACUGCUGCAGCUCUGCCCGGCGC
Long non-coding RNA from Sinocyclocheilus grahami, 375 nucleotides. RefSeq lists it as uncharacterized. The transcript is spliced from 3 exons. The record is from RefSeq and is a predicted model, not a curated record. NCBI's taxonomy places the organism in Eukaryota, Metazoa, Chordata, Actinopteri, Cypriniformes, Cyprinidae.